GGCCUCAGUCCUUCGCCGUCCCUCGCCGUCCUUCGCCAUCGCACGCCACCGCACCCCAUCUCUCGAAAUCUGCAGACAUCUUGAUUUUUCCCACGCUGUCUGUCAGGUCUCCGCCGCCACUCGACGCCAGGGCGCCGGGUGAGUCCACAGCAGGGCGCAUGGUCGGCUCCACUCUCACCAUCGGGGGAAACUGAGGCCCCGGGGAAGGCGGCCAGAGAGGUCAGGCCCUGUCCUUGGUGCAGUGUCUCGUCCUCUUUGCCGGAGUGAGCCCCCCAGGAUUCGCGUGUCCUCGGGAAAGACACUGGCAGGCCUUGUGGGCUGUGCUGCACCUCGGACGGCUUCGCACCAGCCAGCGCCCUCUCUCUCCUGCAGCACUCUGAUCUGCACCCCCUGAGGGGCUUCCACUGUCCGCGGGGUGAGAAUGCCCCUGGGAGUGUCACAUGACUGCCGCCCCAUGUGUGUGAGAGGCGUCCUCUGGGAGAGCAUGGAUCCUGAGGUCCCAGGAACAUCCCGAGAGCCAAGUUCCCAGAUGCCAGCCAAGGGCCAUCUGACCUGUUUUGAAUCUCAAUUUCCUGAUACAGAAAACAAAGGAUUGUCAGCUGACCUCUGUCCUGUGUGCCCAGUGGCCCCAGGUGACGUGUCUUCAAGAAGAGGCUGAGCUGCGGUGCUUGUAAGAGUCAUGUGCUGUUCCUGGGGCUUGGAUGAUGUAGGGGAAGCAAGGUGAAAGUGGUAUCCCGUGGUUCCACGUUCUGUCCUGCUGUGGGGCUGUCCCUCACAUGCUUUCAGUGGCUGUUGCAGAGGAAGAGCCUCCGGAAAUCUGCGUGGGUAAAGUCUCAGCCUUAGAUCCAAGGACAGUCCAAGGAAGUCCUAAGACCAUGGAGUUGGUGAUCUGGGAUCUGGGUUUGCUGAUAUUUCUCACCGUGAAUCUCUUGGUGGUGUUUGUGGGCACGAGAGGGGCAGAGAAUGGAGAGUGAGGCUACCACAUGAAGCGUCACCAGAGCUGCUCCCUGCUGCCUGCUCAGAGCACCCCGGAUCCACUGUUCAAUCUGCACAAGAUUCGGGGUCCAGACAUGGGAGACUUCAGCUGCCUCAGAGGACCGUGGACAGGGAAGGCCAGCCUCGCAUCCCUCUGUCCAUGCCUGGAAUGACUUUAAUAACCAAGAGUUUUAUUUUUGAAUUUGUAGCUGUCGUUCACUUUUUACCCACCCAUUCAAUAAACCUUACAGAAUU
This 1230-nucleotide long non-coding RNA is filed under the name Homo sapiens (human). Its description in RNAcentral is "HSALNT0400933". Lineage: Eukaryota; Metazoa; Chordata; Mammalia; Primates; Hominidae. The record is from RNAcentral.